This 3006-nucleotide unclassified non-coding RNA is filed under the name Leishmania donovani. RNAcentral's name for it is "gene:LdHU3.04.0250(CDS-product:surface_antigen-li ke_protein)". The record is from RNAcentral. Lineage: Eukaryota; Euglenozoa; Kinetoplastea; Trypanosomatida; Trypanosomatidae.
CCACGCACACGUGCAGUAGCACGAGGCUCCCCAUCCUUCCCCCUACCCACACCCACACACACACGCACACACACCUUCAUCAUAGCCCGCACCUUUCGCCGUUUCGCCCGCUCUCUCCUUUCCGUGCGUGUGUGCCUCAGUCUGUUGCUCCGCCCGUCUCCCUUCUCCCCACUGUUCGCCUCAUGCACAGCGCUCGCGGCGGCUCUCUCGCGGUGGCCGCCGUGGCGGUUUGCCUGGCAGUGCUCGCCACGGUCGGCACGUGUGUGUUCGACUCGCAGGAGAUCGGCGGCAGCUCCUUCACCUUUGCCGGGUGGUCGUCUGCCAGCAAGGAGGAAUCCUACCAGAGUUGUACCCUGACCGAGAAGGCAUUCAGAAUUCAAGGCGCUGCAAGCUCUCUGUCGGACGACGCCACGCUGCCCGGCGGGAUCCUGCGGUUCUCCACACUGCGUGUGUCGAACGGCUACAUCGUCGUGGAGAAGUACUUUCCCCGGAACACGAACAUCACCAUCAAAGAUGCCAGCGGCACCGUCGCUGCGGGGAUGCCUUUCAUCGACGCCAACACGGCGAUAUUCUCUGAUCAGCUCAGCAUCGUGGUCACCGACUCAACCCUCAGUUGGGCUGCCGCACGGUCGGGUCAGAGCAUGGUGCGUGCACCCUUCACUAUUCAGCUCUCCAGCUCUCUCUUCGUGCUCGGCAGCACCGUGGCGCAGGCCUCAUCCGUGGUAGAGGUGACGGGACCGAGCAGCAUCUCGCAGAAGUCUGCAUUGGCUGUGGACUACGCCAAGUGCACCGGCUGUGCUCAGGGUCUGGUGUACUUCACCGACUUUGUUAGGGUGUGGGACCGCAGCUUGCUUCGCGUCUCUCACUCCAGCGUCAAGGGCGCCGCCGGCAAGCCGCUGAUCGGCAUAGCACAGAAAGCAGGGGCCAGUCUAGCGGUGGAAAACAGUCUGUUCGUUGUCGAGAACGUGUCAUCGCCCACCAGUAACCUCAUCGACGCUCCCGUCAGCAUGGGCACCGAUGCGCAGAUCACCCUACGCGCUGUGGCAGUGAAGAGCAUUGGUGCCACGAUGGCCGGCGGCGUCACUGCGCAACUCUUGACGGCAGACGACAUCGCCCAACAAAUUCCCUCCGUUUCCGUGGUGCCGGACACCAGCUGCGCUGCGGCCUGCGUCCCCACGGCCACGGUCGACUCCCGCUGCAAGUGCACCUGCAAUGCUGACAUGCCGAACAUGAACUUCUGCACGGCCAUGAAGGACCCCUACACAAACUACGCCUACCUCGGCUGCUCGGUGGGCUGCACAACGUGCUUCAACGAGACGGCCUGCCUCGAGUGCAGGCCGAGCUACGAGAUGCUGCCCAGCAUGACAUGCUCGCUAACCGGACUUCAGUGCACAGACCCGAACUGCAAAACCUGCACAACUUACGGCCAGUGCACCGACUGCAACGACGGCUACGGUCUCACCUCCUCCAGCGCUUGCGUGCGCUGCAGUGUAGCGGGCUGCAAGAGCUGCCCCAUUGACGCUAACGUCUGCGAAGUGUGUCUCGGCGGCAGCGAGCCGGUCAACAAUAUGUGCCCCUGCACCGACGCCAACUGCGCCAGCUGCCCCAGCGACGCGGGCACGUGCACUCAGUGCGCGAACGGCUACGGUCUCGUGGACGGCGCCUGUGUGAGGUGCCAGGUGCCCAACUGCUUCAGCUGCGACAGCGACGCGAAUAAGUGCACACAAUGUGCGCCGAACUACUACCUCACCCCGCUCUUGACCUGCUCCCCGGUGGCCUGCAACAUCGAGCACUGCAUGCAGUGCGAUCCACAGACGCCGUCGCGCUGCCAGGAGUGCGUGGCCCCCUACGUGGUCGACAGCUAUGACGGCCUCUGCAGGCUCUCCGACGCCUGCUCCGUGCCCAACUGCAAGAAGUGCGAGCCCGAAACCUCCAGGCUCUGCGCCGAGUGCGACACCGGCUACACUCUCACCGCCGACGCGACGAGCUGCAGCAGUCCUACCACGCAGCCGUGCGAUGUGGAGCACUGCAACACGUGUGUGAACGGCGACAGCACCCGCUGUGCCUACUGCAACACCGGCUACUACGUCUCCGAUGGCAAGUGCAAGACCAUGCAGGGCUGCUACGUGUCCAACUGCGCACAGUGCAUGCUGCUUGACAGCACCAAGUGCUCCACGUGCAUGAAAGGAUACCUGCUCACGUCGUCCUACGGUUGCGUCUCGCAGAAAGUCAUCAACGGCGCGGCCGCGCCCUACUCUCUGUGGGUGGCCGCCGCCGUGCUCCUCGCCUCUGUUGUCACGCACAUAGCAUAGUGCGCAGCAGCAUGCGAGCAACCCCACUCCCAUUCUCCCACAACAUGUGCACACACACAGAGACAGCGGGGCAGCCCUCCCCCCCCCACACACACACACGCACUCCCCCUUCUCUUGUUCUUCUUUCCUCGUUUCGCAUCUCUUUCUCGUGCGCUGGCGCCGGCCUCCUGCACGUCGCUCCCCUCCCCCUAACCUCUAUUCUCUCUCGCCGGCCUCAUUGCUUCUUACCCUUUUCCGAUCCUUGCUCGCGUGGGUGGCCACUGCCACAGUCCCGCAGCGCAGACACACGUGUUUACACGGCGGAGGCAUCUCUCUCCAUCACUUCUUUUCUCCUAAAGCCACUCACCAGGUCGCACACCGCCCACCCCCUCCCCACCACCGGCCACCCUUCCGGGCGCAGCUGUGUGGGGGGUGGGGGUGUGCUCGACCGCGCUCCUGGCAGCUCACUCGCAUGUGUACAGCCACUCCCACCACUAAAGCUCUCUUCUGCGCACACACUCCACCUCCUCGCCCCACGCCGCGACCGCGGCGGUCGGCUGAGCACGAGUGCAGCGCGCGCCUGCGCUGCUGGUUGGCACGACAGCCUCGUGUAGAGGUGGGGACAGAUUUGGUGGGCAAAAGAGUCGGCGUCAACGCUGAGUCCUCCCUUAGGGUAGCAGCCCCGCCUCCACCACGACCCACCCGCAGUACCGGA